AUUGAACGCUGGCGGCAGGCCUAACACAUGCAAGUCGAACGGUAGCACAGAGAGCUUGCUCUUGGGUGACGAGUGGCGGACGGGCGAGUAAUGUCUGGGAAACUGCCCGAUGGAGGGGGAUAACUACUGGAAACGGUAGCUAAUACCGCAUAACGUCUUCGGACCAAAGUGGGGGACCUUCGGGCCUCACACCAUCGGAUGUGCCCAGAUGGGAUUAGCUAGUAGGUGGGGUAAAGGCUCACCUAGGCGACGAUCCCUAGCUGGUCUGAGAGGAUGACCAGGCACACUGGAACUGAGACACGGUCCAGACUCCGACGGGAGGCAGCAGUGGGGAAUAUUGCACAAUGGGCGCAAGCCUGAUGCAGCCAUGCCGCGUGUAUGAAGAAGGCCUUCGGGUUGUAAAGUACUUUCAGCGGGGAGGAAGGCGUUAAGGUUAAUAACCUUGGCGAUUGACGUUACCCGCAGAAGAAGCACCGGCUAACUCCGUGCCAGCCGCCGCUGUAA
Molecule: ribosomal RNA, 504 nt
Filed under: uncultured bacterium
Lineage: Bacteria
Description: partial 16S ribosomal RNA
Rfam family: Bacterial small subunit ribosomal RNA
Source: RNAcentral